CACAGGGAUUGCCUCAGUAACGGCGAGUGAAGCGGCAAAAGCUCAAAUUUGAAAUCUGGCUCCUUCGGGGCCCGAGUUGUAAUUUGCAGAGGAUGCUUCGGGCGUGGCCGCGGUCUAAGUCCCCUGGAACGGGGCGUCGCAGAGGGUGAGAAUCCCGUCUUCGGCCGGCCGGCUUCGCCCAUGUGAAGCUCCUUCGACGAGUCGAGUUGUUUGGGAAUGCAGCUCUAAAUGGGUGGUAAAUUUCAUCUAAAGCUAAAUAUUGGUCGGAGACCGAUAGCGCACAAGUAGAGUGAUCGAAAGAUGAAAAGCACUUUGAAAAGAGAGUUAAACAGCAUGUGAAAUUGUUGAAAGGGAAGCGCUUGCGACCAGAGUCGGCCGCGGGGGUUCAGCGGGCAUUCGUUGCCCGUGCACUCCCCCGCGGGCGGGCCAGCGUCGGUUUCGACGGCCGGUCAAAGGCCCCCGGAAUGUGUCGCCUCUCGGGGCGUCUUAUAGCCGGGGGUGCAAUGCGGCCAGUCGGGACCGAGGAACGCGCUUCGGCACGGACGCUGGCUUAAU
RNAcentral lists this ribosomal RNA (555 nucleotides) under Blastomyces helicus. Its description in RNAcentral is "partial large subunit ribosomal RNA". It matches the Rfam family "Eukaryotic large subunit ribosomal RNA", at positions 67 to 635 of the family's 3401-position model. The record is from RNAcentral. Lineage: Eukaryota; Fungi; Ascomycota; Eurotiomycetes; Onygenales; Ajellomycetaceae.